This 468-nucleotide ribosomal RNA is filed under the name uncultured bacterium. RNAcentral's name for it is "partial 16S ribosomal RNA". It matches the Rfam family "Bacterial small subunit ribosomal RNA", at positions 28 to 507 of the family's 1533-position model. The record is from RNAcentral.
GACGAACGCUGGCGGCGGGCUUAACACAUGCAAGUCGAACGGAAAGGCCCUGCUUUUGGGGGGUGCUCGAGUGGCGAACGGGUGAGUAAGACGUGAGUAACCUGCCCUUGACUUUGGGAUAACUUCAGGAAACUGGGGCUAAUACCGGAUAGGAGCUCCUGCUGCAUGGUGGGGGUUGGAAAGGUGCGGCGGGUGGGGAUGGACUCGCGGCUUAUCAGCUUGCUGGUGGGGGAGUGGUUUACCAAGGCUUUGACGGGUAGACGGCCUGAGAGGGUGACCGGCCACCUUGGGCCUGCGGUACGGCCCAGACUCCUACGGGAGGCAGCAGUCGCGAAUCUUGCGCAGUGGGCGCACGCCUGAUGCAGCAACGCCGCGUGCGGGAUGACGGCCUUCGGGUUGUAAACCGCUUUCGCCUGUGACGAAGCGUGAGUGACGUUACUGGGUAAAGAAGCACCGGCUAACUACGUG